AGGGUUCCCAUUGGUUGGGGAAGUGUAGUAGGAGGGAUUUCCGGAGGAGGGAUUUCCUGUUGGUGUAGUGUAUUCUGGGAGAAGGCCACAUACCUGGCGUUCACGGGAGUUUUGGAAAUAAAGUUUGUUCCUGCUUGAGUGGCUCAUGAUUUUGUGCCCAGCCAGACUGCGGCAGUUAGUCAGAAGGGGAAGUCCUGAACCAGAGGCUAGGCUCUGGUAGGUGUCUGCCCCAACUGAGGAAAGGUGGACCAGGCCUGCUGUGAGCCUGGUCCUGCACAGGCCUGUGUGGAUGGUUCUGGGCCGCCCAGGCUUGACCUCCCACCUGAAAAAAUCUUACAAAGAUAAAUAUUUAAACUAGAAGUCUAAAUUGUUUUCAAGAAAAACAAAUACAUUUGUCCACAGAAAGACUUGUAUCUAAAUUUUCUCAGAAACUUUGCCAAUAACAACCUUAAUCUAUAAAUAAUCUGAAUGUCAAUCUCUGGAAGAAUGGGAAAAAUGCUGCAUGGUACAUUUAGGUAAUGAAUUGAUAUGUUGCAGAAACCCACUUCACAAACUGGAACACAACAAAUUACACGCAACAACAAGGAAGAAACUCAGAUUUUAAGUUGCAGUCUGGACUGGAAAAGAAAUUCCAAAGAUUGGACCAUUUAAAUAAGUUUUCAUUGAGAAACUGAUUCCUAUAACUUUAUGAGAACCAAGGAUUGUAUAUUUGUAAUUAUGCAUUUGUAAUUUUGAAGAGAUGAAUGAAGCUUUCUUUCACUAACAGACUAUACCCAAAGGACUUAAAAACGGCAUACUACAGGGACACAGCCACAUC
Ictidomys tridecemlineatus (thirteen-lined ground squirrel) is the source of this 817-nucleotide non-coding RNA. Lineage: Eukaryota; Metazoa; Chordata; Mammalia; Rodentia; Sciuridae. The record is from RefSeq and is a predicted model, not a curated record.